Punica granatum (pomegranate) is the source of this 863-nucleotide non-coding RNA. NCBI's taxonomy places the organism in Eukaryota, Viridiplantae, Streptophyta, Magnoliopsida, Myrtales, Lythraceae. The record is from RefSeq and is a predicted model, not a curated record.
CUGGCAGGGUAGUAUGAUAGAUGACGCUCAGUUAGGUGGCUGGCAAGACUGAAGCUCGGUCAAGAAAAUCAGGCCGGCAAUGAGGAGAAAAGAUGAUGAUUGCCCUCAAGAUCGAUGCUCUGAUACCAUGUAAAGAAUUGAGAUUGGGCAGAAAAGCUUGCGUUUGUUAUUCAAUCCUCUGAUGGCUCUCGAAGAGCUGUGAGCAGCUUGAGUUCCAACUCGGAUUCCUCAAGUGUACAGAAAUAGAAAUCAACCAUCUCUUCUGUCACUUCUCCCAAACUCGGAGGACUCCACUGCCAAAAAUUCAGGCCAAAACACAGAACGCCUUUACUUCUUUUCACAGUCAAAGCACACUUUCCAGGAAAAAGCUAAGUUGUGAAGUGGGAUAAUGUUUCUACCUUUGGCGCGAAAUCCUUGUCCACUGGCCAUGCUCCAACUCCCUUCAGUUUUGCAAGUAUUUUCAUUAGAAUGAAAUAAUAGACAUGGAUAGAUCAUAAAUAUAUGGAUAUUAUUGCAUCCCUCAGAGAAGUCCUUAGAAACCUAUUGAGAGGCAGAGCCAAGUGAUAUUCUACAUUCACGAGCCAAACACCGGUCAGGGGUCUCAAACCUCCCUUCACGAAUCUGAAGGGCAUACACAAUCGAAGACAAUAAUAAUAAUAGGAUCAGCUGCAACAACACUUGAAGAGGACCGAGGGCACUGACUCACGGAUCUUAAGGUAACUUACAAGCUCAGUGGAGAAGCUUCUCUCAGUUUCUUGAGGGUCGUUUUUUACCACACAUUGUAAGAAUCAGCAGCCUCACUUUCCUGAGCAGAGAUGAAAGUUGAAUAAAAUUUAAGGAACAAUAUCAAGACAUUAUUUCCA